This 577-nucleotide ribosomal RNA is filed under the name uncultured Thermoplasmatales archaeon. Its description in RNAcentral is "bacterial SSU rRNA". It matches the Rfam family "Archaeal small subunit ribosomal RNA", at positions 1 to 585 of the family's 1478-position model. The record is from RNAcentral. Lineage: Archaea; Methanobacteriati; Thermoplasmatota; Thermoplasmata; Thermoplasmatales.
UUCCGGUUGAUCCUGCCAGCGGGCACCGCUAUUGGAAUCCGCUUAAGCCAUGCGAGUCGAGAGGUGUAAGACCUCGGCGCACUGCUCAGUAACACGCGGACAAUCUGUCCUCGAGACGGGGAUAAUCCCGGGAAACUGGGAAUAAUACCCGAUAGCCACUCCAUGAUGGAAGGCUGGGGUGGCGAAAGCUCCGACGCUCGAGGGUGAGUCUGCGGCCUAUCAGGUUGUAGGGGGUGUUACGGACCUCCUAGCCGACGACGGGUACGGGCAUUGGGAGAUGUCGCCCGGAGAUGGGUUCUGAGACACGAACCCAGGCCCUACGGGGCGCAGCAGGCGCGAAACCUCCACAAUGUGGGCAACCACGAUGGGGGGAUUCCAAGUGGACGUAUUUUAUACGUCCUGUUCCCAAGCCUAAAAAGCUUGAGAAGUAAGGGCCGGGUAAGACGGGUGCCAGCCGCCGCGGUAAUACCCGCGGCCCGAGUGGUGCUCAUGAUUAUUGAGCCUAAAGCGUUCGUAGCUGGCCGGGUAAAUCCUUGGGGAAAUCGGGCGACCUAAUCGACCGAAGACCAGGGACACU